ACGUUGGUAUAUAAACUGAGCAGGCCGCACCAUUGAGUUGCAUAUUCUCAACAUACCAUUGCCUAUAUGGCAAUGGUAUGUUUCCCUUACAUUUUUCUGUUUUUGAGAUUUUUCAAUUUUCAUUGAUUUCAAGGUAAAAUGGAUUGCCAUAUGGAUUCACGCUAAAUGAAGUAACAUUUUUUUUCGAGUUGACGACUGUGCAUCGGGUUGUCGACUCGGGUUUCAGUUUUAGAACUGAGUUUAACACGAUGCUGGAUGAGAUUGUUAAAAUAACGUUCCGAAGAAAAAACUUAACUAUGUCAUCUGAAGUGGAAUUACAUCGUCUUCUUUUUCAAGAGUAUCAAUGAUCUGUUCUAAAACUAUCUUUAUGAAGUUACUCGAACCUUUUGAUUCAAUUUAUGGAAUCAAAUCAUUGUUUGUAGUAAACGUUUGUGUUUGACAUUAAGGGGGAACAUUUUCGUACAUGGAAAAACGACCCAUAAAAUAUGAGAAAAAAACAACAACAUUUGAUCAGUAAAUUGGACGGGUUGCUUAUAUCAUUUGGUUUCAACUCUCAAUUUCGGAAAAAAUACAGCAAAGGAUCUAGAGUCAUUGGAACGUAUUCUGACGAUUAGAGCACUGGAAAACAUCACCAGGGUCAUUAAGGACAAAACGCAUGCAGACAUUAUCAUUUUCGUCACACUGGGGUCAUAAUAACAGUUCUGGACUUUUGGUUUUGUAUUAUCGAUGUACUGUUAUUAUUACACAUGCAGAACGAAAAUUGGUAUUUUGAAAAAAAANUGAAU
Long non-coding RNA from Mizuhopecten yessoensis (Yesso scallop), 785 nucleotides. RefSeq lists it as uncharacterized. The record is from RefSeq and is a predicted model, not a curated record. The transcript is spliced from 2 exons. NCBI's taxonomy places the organism in Eukaryota, Metazoa, Mollusca, Bivalvia, Pectinida, Pectinidae.